UAGAUUUCAACUACAAUCCAUAUAAUGACAAAUACAUCAACCAAAAUCCAAACGUGGUAUGCUGAUCAUAAAGAAAUGGAAGAACAAAGAUUAAAUUCAAUGGACCAGCACUACACUUCAUCUUAUUUCAAUAACAAGCUUUGCGUUACAAAUUAAGUGAUGUCCAUAGGGCUGAAUAAUACUUGGGAUAAUAAAGGAAAUAAAGAAGAAAGUGAAAAUCAGUUGGUUCAUAGCAACAACAGGUCACCAGCCCAAUUUCAAUAGAACAGUGACCCAACAAACCAAAUAACUCCAAAAAAGCGACUACCCCAACUUCAAACCAUUUCUGCUCAAAACAGAGUUGAUGAUAGUUUAAAAAAUGAAGGCAAACUCUGGAAAUCAAAGAAGGAUCUGAGAGUUCAAUGGAACCGUAUUUUUCUUUCUCAAUCCAACAAGUUUUUCUGUAUUUUU
Molecule: long non-coding RNA, 450 nt
Filed under: Nicotiana benthamiana
Lineage: Eukaryota; Viridiplantae; Streptophyta; Magnoliopsida; Solanales; Solanaceae
Description: long non-coding RNA (NBEN_LNC028726)
Source: RNAcentral